This is a long non-coding RNA of Mauremys reevesii (Reeves's turtle), 1213 nucleotides long. RefSeq lists it as uncharacterized. The record is from RefSeq and is a predicted model, not a curated record. NCBI's taxonomy places the organism in Eukaryota, Metazoa, Chordata, Testudines, Geoemydidae. The transcript is spliced from 2 exons.
AUAGGAGGUGGCAGGUGUGACUGAGGCAGGCACUCUCCAGUUACUCUCUCUGAGGAAGAAGUUUGGGCUGGAAAACCCAGAGAAAUGGGAAGGGCUAGAGAGGUGGGAAAGCAGCAAAGACCUAUAGCCAGGAGCAACAAAUGCAUCUGGAUGCAACAACUUUGCAAUUCUCACGAGCAGCUCACUGCUGUGGCUGUGUUUUCCUUCCCUGUUUGGGGUGACAGGCUGAUCCAAAGGCUUUGCCGUAUUGCAUGAGAAGAACCCCUUUGAGAUGAGCCUUCUGCAGGGGUAUUAGAAAGCAUUAUUCCACUCUGAGAUGUGCCUAUGUAACAGUGGCUGUGGGGACCUCCAGUUUAUUAGUUCCCAGGCAUUCCAGAUCCAAUGUGCUCUCCUUUCCAAGUAAAGAAAUGUCUUUUCUAACUGUGAAACCUGCCCUGGGACCUGAGAGUCCACUGGACUUAUUCAGCAUCCCUUCUGGUGCAUCAUUAUCAGUGCUAAAGAUUCUGCAGCCACAUUGUUCCCUCAAUCACUUCCAUGCAACCCCCUCUCCCUUCAAAAUACACCCUCAGUGACACACAUGUAAUUCCAUCACCUUCAGCACAGGUGUCACUGUAACUUAUUAAACAGCCCUGUUGCUGAUGCACAAGUUGGAAUAGCUCAGCGGGGCUAAUGGGAGUAAAAGGCUGGGAAAGUUAUUUCUGUCUCUAUAGUGAGCCACUAUAACUCAAUACACACAGGGGUCAGAUCUAUUGAGCAGGAAAGUGCUCUUUUUUACAAGCAUUUUGAAGAGCGCUGCUGCACUUUAAGCUCCUUGGGUGGCAGAUCAAUGGGGGCGGGGGUCCACUGGCAUGGCUGAGGCAAACUGCCAUAAUGAUGAAAUGUAGUUUUACUUGGAGAUCAAUCAGCAUACGGCCUGAAAAAGCAUAAAACUUUCCACUCUCUCCUGCACACCACAAGACAAACCCUCAGGAAAGCUUUACACAGUUGAUUCAACGUCCUCUCUAGCUGAUGAGGCUGAUCGCUGGUCAGCGCUUGCUACUGUGUGCCACUCCAGCACUGCAAAGAAGUCACCAAGCUGUCAGAGCCCCAGUGAAUCUGGCCUUGCUUUUGACCAAUGCCCUAAGAAGCUCGCGCUAUCCAGUGCACCUGCAAUUGCUGUCAAGUCAGUGCAUAUAAAGAAUAGGAUUGUCCCUCAUCUCUGCUCCCCAACUGU